This 290-nucleotide unclassified non-coding RNA is filed under the name uncultured fungus. RNAcentral describes it as "partial contains small subunit ribosomal RNA, internal transcribed spacer 1, and 5.8S ribosomal RNA". The stretch from base 1 to 73 matches the Rfam family "Eukaryotic small subunit ribosomal RNA", at positions 1759 to 1831 of the family's 1831-position model. The record is from RNAcentral. Lineage: Eukaryota; Fungi.
UCAAACUUGGUCAUUUAGAGGAAGUAAAAGUCGUAACAAGGUCUCCGUUGGUGAACCAGCGGAGGGAUCAUUACUGAGUUUACGCUCUUAACCCUUUGUGAACAUACCUCUGUAUCUCGUUGCUUCGGCGGGUAGGCACGCAAGUGCCCCCGGGCCCCUCACGGGGCUGCCCGCCGGGGGUCGAAAACCAUUUUUUGUUUCUCAUUACGUUUCUUCUGAUUUGGCAUAAGCAAUAAAUUAAAACUUUCAACAACGGAUCUCUUGGUUCUGGCAUCGAUGAAGAACGCAGC